RNAcentral lists this ribosomal RNA (226 nucleotides) under uncultured bacterium. Its description in RNAcentral is "partial 16S ribosomal RNA". It matches the Rfam family "Bacterial small subunit ribosomal RNA", at positions 100 to 339 of the family's 1533-position model. The record is from RNAcentral.
GGACGGCUGAGUAACACGUAGGAAUGUACCCCAAAGUGAGGGAUAAGCUCCAGAAAUGGUGUCUAAUACCGCAUAUGGUCUUCGGAUUAAAGCUUUUAUUAGCGCUUUGGGAACAGCCUGCGUCUGAUUAGAUAGUUGGUGAGGUAAAGGCUCACCAAGUCGACGAUCAGUAGCUGGUCUGAGAGGAUGACCAGCCAGACUGGAACUGAGACACGGUCCAGACUCC